This 390-nucleotide ribosomal RNA is filed under the name uncultured bacterium. RNAcentral describes it as "bacterial SSU rRNA". It matches the Rfam family "Bacterial small subunit ribosomal RNA", at positions 43 to 459 of the family's 1533-position model. The record is from RNAcentral.
CAGGCCUAACACAUGCAAGUCGAACGAUACCUUUCGGGGUAUAGUGGCGCACGGGUGCGUAACGCGUGGGAAUCUGCCCUGGGGUUCGGGAUAACCGUUGGAAACGACGGCUAAUACCGGAUGAUGAUGAAAAUCCAAAGAUUUAUCGCCCUGGGAUGAGCCCGCGUAGGAUUAGCUAGUUGGUGGGGUAAAGGCCUACCAAGGCGACGAUCCGUAGCUGGUCUGAGAGGAUGAUCAGCCACACUGGGACUGAGACACGGCCCAGACUCCUACGGGAGGCAGCAGUGGGGAAUAUUGGACAAUGGGCGAAAGCCUGAUCCAGCAAUGCCGCGUGAGUGAUGAAGGCCCUAGGGUUGUAAAGCUAUUUUACCCGGGAAGAUAAUGACUGGA